This 696-nucleotide ribosomal RNA is filed under the name uncultured bacterium. RNAcentral describes it as "bacterial SSU rRNA". It matches the Rfam family "Bacterial small subunit ribosomal RNA", at positions 32 to 715 of the family's 1533-position model. The record is from RNAcentral.
AACGCUAGCUACAGGCUUAACACAUGCAAGUCGAGGGGAAACGACAUCGAAAGCUUGCUUUUGAUGGGCGUCGACCGGCGCACGGGUGAGUAACGCGUAUCCAACCUGCCCAUCACUUGGGGAUAACCUUGCGAAAGUAAGACUAAUACCCAAUGACGUUUCUAGAAGACAUCUGAAAGAGAUUAAAGAUUUAUCGGUGAUGGAUGGGGAUGCGUCUGAUUAGCUUGUUGGCGGGGUAACGGCCCACCAAGGCGACGAUCAGUAGGGGUUCUGAGAGGAAGGUCCCCCACAUUGGAACUGAGACACGGUCCAAACUCCUACGGGAGGCAGCAGUGAGGAAUAUUGGUCAAUGGACGAGAGUCUGAACCAGCCAAGUAGCGUGCAGGAUGACGGCCCUAUGGGUUGUAAACUGCUUUUAUAAGGGAAUAAAGUGAGUCUCGUGAGACUUUUUGCAUGUACCUUAUGAAUAAGGACCGGCUAAUUCCGUGCCAGCAGCCGCGGUAAUACGGAAGGUCCGGGCGUUAUCCGGAUUUAUUGGGUUUAAAGGGAGCGUAGGCCGGAGAUUAAGCGUGUUGUGAAAUGUAGACGCUCAACGUCUGCACUGCAGCGCGAACUGGUUUCCUUGAGUACGCACAAAGUGGGCGGAAUUCGUGGUGUAGCGGUGAAAUGCUUAGAUAUCACGAAGAACUCCGAUUG